UACGUAGGGGGCAAGCGUUGUCCGGAAUCAUUGGGCGUAAAGAGCGUGUAGGCGGCCAGGUAGGUCUGCUGUGAAAACUCGAGGCUCAACCUCGAGAUGUCGGCGGAAACCAUCUGGCUAGAGUCCGGAAGAGGAGAGUAGAAUUCCUGGUGUAGCGGUGAAAUGCGCAGAUAUCAGGAGGAAUACCCGUGGCGAAAGCGGCUCUCUGGGACGGUACUGACGCUGAGACGCGAAAGCGUGGGGAGCGAACAGG
Molecule: ribosomal RNA, 253 nt
Filed under: uncultured bacterium
Lineage: Bacteria
Description: partial 16S ribosomal RNA
Rfam family: Bacterial small subunit ribosomal RNA
Source: RNAcentral